RNAcentral lists this unclassified non-coding RNA (314 nucleotides) under plant metagenome. RNAcentral describes it as "partial contains 5.8S ribosomal RNA, internal transcribed spacer 2, and large subunit ribosomal RNA". The stretch from base 1 to 105 matches the Rfam family "5.8S ribosomal RNA", at positions 50 to 154 of the family's 154-position model. The record is from RNAcentral.
GAAAUGCGAUAAUUAAUGUGAAUUGCAGAAUUCAGUGAAUCAUCGAGUCUUUGAACGCACAUUGCGCCCCCUGGUAUUCAGGGGGGCAUGCCUGUCCGAGCGUCAUUGCUGCCCUCAAGCACGGCUUGUGUGUUGGGCUUCCGUCCCUGGCAACGGGGACGGGCCCAAAAGGCAGUGGCGGCACCAUGUCUGGUCCUCGAGCGUAUGGGGCUUUGUCACCCGCUCCCGUAGGUCCAGCUGGCAGCUAGCCUCGCAACCAAUCUUUUUAACCAGGUUGACCUCGGAUCAGGUAGGGAUACCCGCUGAACUUCAGC